RNAcentral lists this ribosomal RNA (861 nucleotides) under uncultured bacterium. RNAcentral's name for it is "bacterial SSU rRNA". It matches the Rfam family "Bacterial small subunit ribosomal RNA", at positions 58 to 902 of the family's 1533-position model. The record is from RNAcentral.
CAAGUCGAGCGAGAAAGCGCAAGCAAGUACAGCGGCGUAAGGGUGAGUAACAGGUAGUCAACGUACCUUGGGGACGCGGAUAAUUCCUCGAAAGGGGUUGUAAUACGCGAUGAGACCACGCUUCCUUCGGGGGGAGGGGUCAAAGGUGGGGGAUCCUUCGGGACCUCGCGCCCUGAGAGCGGACGACCUCUGAUUAGCUAGAUGGCGGGGUAACGGCCCACCAUGGCUGUGAUCGGUAGCCGGCCUGAGAGGGUGUUCGGCCACACUGGGACUGAGACACUGCCCAGACUCCUACGGGAGGCUGCAGUCGCGAAUCUUUCACAAUGGGCGCAAGCCUGAUGAAGCCACGCCGCGUGCGGGAUGAAGGCCCUCUGGGUUGUAAACCGCUGUCAAGUGGGGGGAACCGUAGCGCGUGAACAGCGCGCUGCCUGACUGCCCGCUAAAGGAAGCCCCGGCAAAACAUGUGCCAGCAGCCGCGGUAAUACAUGUGGGGCAAGCGUUGUUCGGAAUUACUGGGCAUAAAGGGUGCGUAGGCGGCUUGUUAAGUCAGGGGUGAAAUUUUUCGGCCCAACCGGAAAAGCGCCUUUGAUACUGGCGAGCUUGAGUGCGUGAGGGGUGACUGGAACGAGUGGUGUAGCGGUGAAAUGCGUAGAUAUCACUCGGAAGGCCAAAGGCGAAGGCAGGUCACUGGUACGCAACUGACGCUGAGGCACGAAAGCGUGGGGAGCAAACAGGAUUAGAUACCCUGGUAGUCCACGCCGUAAACGAUGAGCACUAGGUAGGUGCCGAGCUAUUCGGUGCCUGCCGCAGACAAUUUGGUAAGUGCUCCGCCUGGGGAGUAUGGUCGCAAGGCUGAAACUC